Molecule: non-coding RNA, 49 nt
Filed under: Bacillus methanolicus MGA3
Lineage: Bacteria; Bacillati; Bacillota; Bacilli; Caryophanales; Bacillaceae
Source: RNAcentral
AUGGGAAGCAUUCCCGGUAUUUGGGGCCCUGUUGUAGGCGUACUUUGCG